UCCGCAUUCUCUUCCAGCGACAAUCGCCCAAUCCGUAUCGCCCCCAUAGACCCAUCGAUCCGGAGCUCCGAUCGCUGUCUCGUCGGGCCCAGGGUUUCCGCCGGCCGGAUCGCAGCGGCCUGAUGGGCUCGGACGGAGGAGAUCCCAGCGGCGCCCGGGCGCCCGCCGGGGAGUGGGAGGGUGGUGCGGCCGGGGCGGCGGUCGCGAUCAACGUCCGGUGCUCCAACGGCUCCAAAAUCGAGGUCCGGGCGAGCCCGGAGGUCAACGAUCGGGGCCUUCAAGGCGGCCCUGGCCCGGGACUGCGACGUCCCCGCCGAUCAGCAGCGGCUAAUCUACAAAGGCCGGAUUUUGAAGGACGACCAGACCUUGGCCAGCUACGCAGCGAAGAAGAUUAGCGUCUGUGAAGAAGAAGAUUUGGACUUUCAAUGGCGAAGAAGAUGAGCGUCAGUGAAGAAGAGCCGAAGAAGAAGGGCGAGCGAAAAAGGGAGAGUGAACAGCGUGCCUCGAGACCUUCAAAGAUGAAGAAGAAGAUCUGGAACUUUGAUGGCCAAGAAGAUGUGUGUCGUUGAAGAAAGCCGAAAGAAAAAGAUGAGCGAAAGAGCGAAGGGAGAGAGCGGCGUAACAGGCUCAAACCUAGCCCAGGCCAUGGGGAGAGUUAAUUUGUAUUGGAGUCUAGCUUUGCUAUUCCAAAAAAUGAUUUAUGAGUUGCAAUCCCUCAUGCAAUAGAGUCUGGGCAUUUUAUCUGGAAGAUUCCAUAUAUCCAGGCAAUGAAUCAAUCUCUUUUAAGAGCAUUUUCCCACUUGAGCUCUAGGACAUUGGGUACAGAGGGUUACAGGCCUAACAGGUUUCACGCCGUAGAAUAUGGGGAAAAUCGUUUUCCCAUGACCUGAUUUUUCCUUGCUCUCCACCAUUGCUGGAAGUGUUGUGGGAAUGGUGGAGAAUAAGGAGAAAUUGGGUCGUGGGAAAAUGAUUUUCUCCAUAUUAUACAGCGUGGAACCUCGUGAUGUUAGACUUGUAACCUCUGUACCCAUAAUGCCCUAUAAGCUGAAGGGGUGGAUUGAGUCUGAGGAAGUAAAAGCGUGGGAAAAUGCUCUUAAAGAGGUUGGUUCAUUGCCAGGAUAUAUGGAAUCUUCCAGGAAAAAGGCCCCACUGCAAUUGUAGGAGGGAUUGCAACUCAUAAAUCAUUUUCUGGAAUAGCACAGCUAGACUCCAAUAGAACAAACUGGAUUACUUUGUUUUUGAUGUUGCGCUUUAAGUACAAAUUAACUUCAAAUAGUUGAUCUGCAGUUCAAUGGGAGUGGCUAUUGCUUUGUCAUAUAGUAUCCGCCCAAUGAUAAACUCGUGCCUUUUCUUUUCUAACUGAAACAAGUUUACUUCUGUGGCAGCAUAUUGGAUGUCAUCCAUGCAAUCGUUGAAGAUGUCAUGCACAAGGUGAAGGUAAACGAGGGAAUUGACAAACAAGUGGAGGACAUGAUGCACUUACUUGAUUUAGAACUCUAUUCUUGAUGUAUGAAUAGUUGGAAUCUGGGGGAAGGAUGGGUCGGCAAGACCCCUCUUGCCGAGGUCAUUUAUGAGCAAAUUUCAUCUCAUUUCGACAGUUGUAGUUUCCUUGCAGAUAUUGGGGCAGUGCUGAAACAAUCUAGAGGUAUUCAGCUUUUGUAAAGCAAGUUGAUGUCUGAUAUCCAAGACCAAGGAGAUGAGUUUGAUCUAGUUGCAAAAGGAGGAGUCUAUUUUCUUGAAGAAACAUUACCGAUGAUUAAAGUACUAAUUUUUCUUGAUGAUCUGGACAUAUGGUUGCAUUUCAAUGAAAUUUUUGGAGAAGAACGUGACUUUUUUGGUCAUGGAUUUAGGAUAAUUGUCACCACUAGUAACAAAUUUGUUCUUUUAAAAUCGCCACCUCAACGGUUGGAUUGUAUUUACUGUAUCGGCAUGAUGAAUGAUAAUCUAGCUCUUGAGCUUUUCAGUAA
Long non-coding RNA from Eucalyptus grandis, 1967 nucleotides. RefSeq lists it as uncharacterized. The record is from RefSeq and is a predicted model, not a curated record. The transcript is spliced from 3 exons. NCBI's taxonomy places the organism in Eukaryota, Viridiplantae, Streptophyta, Magnoliopsida, Myrtales, Myrtaceae.